UUAAUCAAAGAAUGAAAUUCACCUUGAUAAAAUGUUAUAUGCUAAGUAUCAAAUAUACCAAAAUGUUAACUUAAACAUCAUGCCCAAAACAACCUAGGUACAUGUCAUUUCAACACAAACACAUAAAUAUAUACAAAAGAGGUAGCAAAAUGAUUCUCGGUAUGGGUUGUUGAGAAUGGAUGCUUGAACACUUUCAAUCUACGAAAAUCCUUGUUUGAGACCUGUGCACAAAAAUAAACAUAAUCUUACAUUGAGUAUUGAAUACUCGGUGGUGCUAAUAUAAUUCAAGUUCAAUAUAUUAAAACCAAAUUAAAGAAAAUACAUAAAUAUAACAUUAACUACUUGUUUUAAUUUAUCACAAAAUCAAGAAUCAUAUCAUUCCCAAACUUUGCAAUUCAAUACUUGUCUUAAUAUUUCAUAAUUUUAUAUCAUCACAUACUCAAUUGUUCAAUAUACUACUAAAUGUCUUUUUCAUUACUUACACUUUCCGACCUUUAUCAACCGAAGAUAGACAUUAGAAUAAAUACUUAGAUCUAUAUAACGAGUAAGUCACGGCCUUCUAGGAAUUGAGACUAUUUUAUUCUGUCAUCCCGGGUUGCUCAACAAUGAUGGCUUUUAGUGUUUGUCUGUACUGUUUUAUUUUGUCAUCUUGGGUUUCCCGACAAUGAUGACUUUUAGUAUUUAUCCACAACCCUAUGGGAAUUGGGGCUAAUAAACCAUUGAUAACAGUGACUCUAUGACAGCCAACUAUACCUGGACCACGGUUAAGAUCUUUUAAUGGGGCAUUAACAUCAUAAUCAUCAUUGUAAUGAAUAUCAUCAUAGUAUCAACAUCUCAAUAUUUAUAUACAUUAAUCAUGUAUAUUUUAAAGUAUUUAUAGCAUAAGUCAAUUAUUCAUACUUUGAUUCGGCAACUUCAAUAUCUAAUUCAUCAUUUCAUAAAUUUAGGAUAGAUAUGAUUACGUAAAAUUUUAUUUCAUAUUCAUUUAUACAACUAGCUAAUUUAUGAACGACUUAUUGAAAAUGAAUUAUAGUAGCACAAACUAGAAACAACUUUUCGUCAAUGACUUUGGCUUUCCCUUUAUCUUGAGAUGGUUCUACAUCGUCUUUGGCUAUAAAAUUAAAUUUGAAUACAAAAACUCAUUAAUCACAUAGUUCAAACACAAAUCAACUCAAUAUAAUCAUUUUAGUCCUUAUAAGCCUUAAUAUCUGAAAUGCUCAUAAAUUUUUUAUUUACUUUAUUGGAUUGAAAAUCGAUUUCAUAUUUCUCUACUAGAGACCUCUAGCUUUCAAUUCAUGACAUAAUUUUCUAACAACUUUCAACGUAUUCAAUUUGAUUCCUAAUGUUGUAAAUCAACUACAUAGCUUAAUUGAAUUUUCUAAUCAAUUCCAACAUAUUUUACUACUUUUUAACUUAGUCCUAACAUACUCAAAACUCAUACUUCAAAAUCUCAUCAAAAUUAAGCUUAAUUUCACUAAAUCAUUUUAAUGGUAACUUGAAUUUAACUUAAUAAUUUGGAAUUCUAACACAUGGGUAAGACAUGCUAGUUUGAGAUGAUUAUGAAUUAAAAAAAAAUCCAAGGAAAAUACACAUAUUUACCUUAUCAAUUUGUUGGCCGAAUGUGAAGAAUUUAACUUAAUAAUUUGGAAUUCUAACACAUGGUAAGACAUGCUAGUUUGAGAGGAUUAUGAAUUCACAAAACUCCAAGGAAGAUACACAUAUUUACUUUAUCAAAUUGUUGGCCGAAUGUGAAUAAGAAAGCUUUGAGUUUUCUUUCUUUUUCAAUAGCUAUAGAAAGCAAUGCUAAGGGAGGAAGAUGAUUUUCUCUUUCAUCCCACC
Molecule: long non-coding RNA, 1839 nt
Filed under: Gossypium barbadense (sea-island cotton)
Lineage: Eukaryota; Viridiplantae; Streptophyta; Magnoliopsida; Malvales; Malvaceae
Description: long non-coding RNA (GBAR_LNC015265)
Source: RNAcentral